GGAGGGAGCAAGCGUUGUUCGGAAUCACUGGGCGUAAAGCGAGUGUAGGUUGUUAGGCAAGUAGGAUGUGAAAGCCCGGGGCCCAACCCCGGAACUGCAUUCUAAACUGCCUGGCUAGAGUCCCGGAGAGGAAGGCGGAAUUCCGAGUGUAGAGGUGAAAUUCGUAGAUAUUCGGAGGAACACCAGAGGCGAAGGCGGCCUUCUGGACGGUGACUGACACUGAGACUCGAAAGCGUGGGGAGCAAACAGGAUUAGAUACCCUGGUAGUCCACGCCGUAAACGAUGGGUGCUAGUCGUCGCGGGUAUUGACCCCUGCGGUGACGAAGCUAACGCAUUAAGCACCCCGCCUGGGAAGUACGGCCGCAAGGCUA
RNAcentral lists this ribosomal RNA (371 nucleotides) under uncultured organism. RNAcentral describes it as "partial 16S ribosomal RNA". It matches the Rfam family "Bacterial small subunit ribosomal RNA", at positions 527 to 896 of the family's 1533-position model. The record is from RNAcentral.